This 981-nucleotide ribosomal RNA is filed under the name Vibrio alginolyticus. Its description in RNAcentral is "bacterial SSU rRNA". It matches the Rfam family "Bacterial small subunit ribosomal RNA", at positions 313 to 1286 of the family's 1533-position model. The record is from RNAcentral. Lineage: Bacteria; Pseudomonadati; Pseudomonadota; Gammaproteobacteria; Vibrionales; Vibrionaceae.
CUGGAACUGAGAUACGGUCCAGACUCCUACGGCAGGCAGCAGUGGGGAAUAUUGCACAAUGGGCGCAAGCCUGAUGCAGCCAUGCCGCGUGUGUGAAGAAGGCCUUCGGGUUGUAAAGCACUUUCAGUCGUGAGGAAGGUAGUGUAGUUAAUAGCUGCAUUAUUUGACGUUAGCGACAGAAGAAGCACCGGCUAACUCCGUGCCAGCAGCCGCGGUAAUACGGAGGGUGCGAGCGUUAAUCGGAAUUACUGGGCGUAAAGCGCAUGCAGGUGGUUUGUUAAGUCAGAUGUGAAAGCCCGGGGCUCAACCUCGGAAUAGCAUUUGAAACUGGCAGACUAGAGUACUGUAGAGGGGGGUAGAAUUUCAGGUGUAGCGGUGAAAUGCGUAGAGAUCUGAAGGAAUACCGGUGGCGAAGGCGGCCCCCUGGACAGAUACUGACACUCAGAUGCGAAAGCGUGGGGAGCAAACAGGAUUAGAUACCCUGGUAGUCCACGCCGUAAACGAUGUCUACUUGGAGGUUGUGGCCUUCAGCCGUGGCUUUCGGAGCUAACGCGUUAAGUAGACCGCCUGGGGAGUACGGUCGCAAGAUUAAAACUCAAAUGAAUUGACGGGGGCCCGCACAAGCGGUGGAGCAUGUGGUUUAAUUCGAUGCAACGCGAAGAACCUUACCUACUCUUGACAUCCAGAGAACUUUCCAGAGAUGGAUUGGUGCCUUCGGGAACUCUGAGACAGGUGCUGCAUGGCUGUCGUCAGCUCGUGUUGUGAAAUGUUGGGUUAAGUCCCGCAACGAGCGCAACCCUUAUCCUUGUUUGCCAGCGAGUAAUGUCGGGAACUCCAGGGAGACUGCCGGUGAUAAACCGGAGGAAGGUGGGGACGACGUCAAGUCAUCAUGGCCCUUACGAGUAGGGCUACACACGUGCUACAAUGGCGCAUACAGAGGGCGGCCAACUUGCGACAGUGAGCGAAUCCCAAAAAGUGCGU